UGUCUCCUACGGGGCGCAGCAGUAGGUUAUCUUGUUUUUUGGACGACCGUCUGAUGGAGCAACGCCGCGUGAGUGAAGAAGGGUUUCGGCUCGUAAAACUCUGUUGGUAGUGAAGAAAGAUAGAGGUAGUAACUGGCCUUUAUUUGACGGUAAUUACUUAGAAAGUCACGGCUAACUACGUGCCAGCAGCCGCGGGAAUACGUAGGUGGCAAGCGUUGUCCGGAUUUAUUGGGCGUAAAGCGAGUGCAGGCGGGGCAA
This 258-nucleotide ribosomal RNA is filed under the name uncultured bacterium. RNAcentral's name for it is "partial 16S ribosomal RNA". It matches the Rfam family "Bacterial small subunit ribosomal RNA", at positions 333 to 583 of the family's 1533-position model. The record is from RNAcentral.